Schistosoma rodhaini is the source of this 44-nucleotide non-coding RNA. NCBI's taxonomy places the organism in Eukaryota, Metazoa, Platyhelminthes, Trematoda, Strigeidida, Schistosomatidae. The record is from Rfam.
AGCAGUGGAGGAGUCCCAAAUAGGACGAAACGCGAGUCCUGGAU